AUUGAACGCUGGCGGCAGGCCUAACACAUGCAAGUCGAACGGUAACAGGAAGAAGCUUGCUUCUUUGCUGACGAGUGGCGGACGGGUGAGUAUGUCUGGGAAACUGCCUGAUGGAGGGGGAUAACUACUGGAAACGGUAGCUAAUACCGCAUAACGUCGCAAGACCAAAGAGGGGGACCUUCGGGCCUCUUGCCAUCGGAUGUGCCCAGAUGGGAUUAGCUAGUAGGUGGGGUAACGGCUCACCUAGGCGACGAUCCCUAGCUGGUCUGAGAGGAUGACCAGCCACACUGGAACUGAGACACGGUCCAGACUCCUACGGGAGGCAGCAGUGGGGAAUAUUGCACAAUGGGCGCAAGCCUGAUGCAGCCAUGCCGCGUGUAUGAAGAAGGCCUUCGGGUUGUAAAGUACUUUCAGCGGGGAGGAAGGGAGUAAAGUUAAUACCUUUACUCAUUGACGUUACCCGCAGAAGAAGCACCGGCUAACUCCGUG
RNAcentral lists this ribosomal RNA (489 nucleotides) under uncultured bacterium. RNAcentral describes it as "partial 16S ribosomal RNA". It matches the Rfam family "Bacterial small subunit ribosomal RNA", at positions 30 to 507 of the family's 1533-position model. The record is from RNAcentral.